This 331-nucleotide unclassified non-coding RNA is filed under the name soil metagenome. RNAcentral describes it as "partial contains 5.8S ribosomal RNA, internal transcribed spacer 2, and large subunit ribosomal RNA". The stretch from base 1 to 120 matches the Rfam family "5.8S ribosomal RNA", at positions 35 to 154 of the family's 154-position model. The record is from RNAcentral.
GAUGAAGAACGUAGCGAAAUGCGAUACGUAAUGUGAAUUGCAGAUUUCAGUGAAUCAUCGAAUCUUUGAACGCACAUUGCGCCCGCCAGUAUUCUGGCGGGCAUGCCUGUUCGAGCGUCAUUUCAACCAUCAAGCGCCUCGCUUGUGUUGGGGCCCUGCGGCUGCCGCAGGCCCCUAAAUCCAGUGGCGGGCUCGUCGUCGUACCGAGUGCAGUAAACAUCCUCGCUCAGGAAACCCGACGGGUGCCGGCCGUGAAACCCCCCCUCCUCAAGGUUGACCUCGGAUCAGGUAGGAAUACCCGCUGAACUUAAGCAUAUCAAUAAGCGGAGGA